RNAcentral lists this long non-coding RNA (434 nucleotides) under Equus caballus (horse). RNAcentral's name for it is "lncRNA (ENSECAG00000046084.1)". Lineage: Eukaryota; Metazoa; Chordata; Mammalia; Perissodactyla; Equidae. The record is from RNAcentral.
GCCAGGCUCCCUGGGCUCGAAUCCUGGAUGACCCUGGAGCCAGCUUCCUGACCUCUCUGUGCCUCAGUGUCCUGUCUGAACUGAGAACAUAGCAGUGCUGACCCACAGGGGCUGAAAGGAUGGAUUUCCGGAUGGCAGCUGUUCCUGCUCUCCCUGGGAACUGUCAGGAGCCCUCCCUUCUCCUGGUCCCCAAAAAGAUUCCAGGCAAUCAUGUCACCGCCACCUCGUAUGUCUGUGUCGCCCUGCAGUUCGCAAAGUGCUCUUGCAGUCACGAGCUCAGUUGAGUCUCGACUGAGUCACAAGGCAGAGACUGUCAAUCCUGUCUCCCAGGCGUCUCCUUCCCUCUUGGCUCUGUGGAAGGAGGAAGGAAGCAGGCCACAUGCGACACAGCUGGAAACACUGGCUCCAUUCAUGGUUCUCAAGCUGCAUGCCCC